UCGAGCGAGAAAUUUAUGGACGAUAUUUCGAUUGAGUUUGUAAAUGGAAAGCGGCGGACGGGUGAGUAACGCGUAGGUAACCUGCCCCAUACAGAGGGAUAGCCACUGGAAACGGUGAUUAAUACCUCAUAAAACUGAGAAUACACAUGUAUACUCAGCCAAAGAUUUAUCGGUAUGGGAUGGACCUGCGUCUGAUUAGUUAGUUGGUGAGGUAACGGCUCACCAAGGCGACGAUCAGUAGCCGACCUGAGAGGGUGAUCGGCCACAUUGGAACUGAGACACGGUCCAAACUCCUACGGGAGGCAGCAGUGGGGAAUAUUGCACAAUGGGCGAAAGCCUGAUGCAGCAACGCCGCGUGAACGAAGAAGGCUCUUGGGUCGUAAAGUUCUGUUCUGAGGGAAGAAGAAAGUGACGGUACCUCAGGAGAAAGCCCCGGCUAACUACGUGCCAGCAGCCGCGGUAAUACGUAGGGGGCAAGCGUUGUCCGGAAUUAUUGGGCGUAAAGAGUACGUAGGCGGUUUGUUAAGCGCAAGGUGAAAGGCAUAGGCUCAACCAAUGUGAGCCUUGCGAACUGGCAGACUUGAGUGCAGGAGAGGAAAGCGGAAUUCCUAGUGUAGCGGUGAAAUGCGUAGAUAUUAGGAGGAACACCGGUGGCGAAGGCGGCUUUCUGGACUGAAACUGACGCUGAGGUACGAAAGCGUGGG
Molecule: ribosomal RNA, 704 nt
Filed under: uncultured bacterium
Lineage: Bacteria
Description: bacterial SSU rRNA
Rfam family: Bacterial small subunit ribosomal RNA
Source: RNAcentral